CCUACGGGUGGCAGCAGUGAGGAAUAUUGGUCAAUGGCCGGAAGGCUGAACCAGCCAUGCCGCGUGAAGGUCAGUGCCCUAUGGGCGUUAAACUUCUUUUGUGCGGGAGCAAUAAUGGUCACGUGUGGCCAGACGAGAGUACCGUACGAAUAAGCAUCGGCUAACUCCGUGCCAGCAGCCGCGGUUAUACGGGGGAUGCAAGUGUUAUCCGGAUUUAUUGGGUUUAAAGGGUGCGUAGGCUGUGAGGUAAGUCAGCGGUGAAAUGCCCCCGCUCAACGGGGUGAAGUGCCAUUGAUACUGCCUGGCUGGAAUGCGGAUGCGGUGGGAGGAAUGUGUGGUGUAGCGGUGAAAUGCAUAGAUAUCACACAGAACACCGAUUGCGAAGGCAUCUCACGAAUCCGCGAUUGACGCUGAUGCACGAAAGCGUGGGUAUCAAACAGGAUUAGAUACCCUUGUAGUC
RNAcentral lists this ribosomal RNA (460 nucleotides) under uncultured bacterium. RNAcentral describes it as "partial 16S ribosomal RNA". It matches the Rfam family "Bacterial small subunit ribosomal RNA", at positions 338 to 795 of the family's 1533-position model. The record is from RNAcentral.